This is a long non-coding RNA of Leptidea sinapis, 6987 nucleotides long. RefSeq lists it as uncharacterized. The transcript is spliced from 3 exons. The record is from RefSeq and is a predicted model, not a curated record. Lineage: Eukaryota; Metazoa; Arthropoda; Insecta; Lepidoptera; Pieridae.
CGACGAGGAGCUGCGUGCCGUGCUCGCGCUGUCGGCCAUAGAGCACGAGGCGCACCAGUCGCAGCUGGUGGACGAGCAGCGCGCGCUCAGUGAGGCGCUGCGGCUGUCACUGCUGGACGAAUAGCGCGCAGGGCGCGGAACUUCAAGCUGACGUUCAAAUAGAGAGAAGAAGUGAGUGGCUUAAUGUCGCGGUGCGCCUCGCUGUCAUUGUAUACGAGUACCGCAGCGUAUUGCGCAUGCGUGUACGCAGACCCCUGUACCAUAAUAUUAUGUUAAAUUUAAGUAUUUAUUUUGUAACGUUUAAUGAACUAUUAGCGUUUAUCUAGAUUAUGUAACUAUGAUUGUUGUUUAUCAGUUACAACUAUUAUUUUAAUAUAACAGAAAAAACAUUGACAUGUAAGGUUAGACUGAGAUUUAUAGAGCGUGCUUUGACUUUGAUCAGACUUAGAUAGAGAGUUAAGUCGUGGUGGGUAUUUAUAGACAUUUCUUGGCUAGAUUAUGGGUACCACCCAAUACCCAAUAAACGGCGCCUAUUUCUGUGUUUCGUUCUGAAGGCCACUUGCACGGGACACGAGAGGUCGUGGGUUCGAGUCCCGCAUCGUUCAUAAAAUUUUAUUUUUUAUUUACAUUUUGUAAUUUAAAUUACAGGGCAAAUGAGACUUAACAUCUUACAUCUCAAGGUGACGAGUGCAAUUGAGGUGCUGCUCAGAAUUUUUGGGUUUUUCAAGAAUCCUGAGUGGCAAUGCAUUGUAAUAGGCAGGGCGUAUGAAUUACCAUCAGCUGAACGUCCUGCUCGUCUCGUCCCUUAUUUUCAUAAAAAAAUAAUAAUUUGAAAACAAUUUUUUUUAACGAUGCGGGUCUCGAACCCACGACCCGAGAGGUCGUGCGAGUGCUCUUCCAACUGAGCUAACCGUUCGAGUGACGUAUCGUCAUAAAAUCUUGUAUGCUUUGUUCAAUUCUCAGGUUGUAGCUUCAUCUACAGGAUCUACUUUACAUUUGAUAACCUGCUCAACCCCAAUAUUUGCAUAUUAUUAGGAAAUUGACUUGAGAUGUCGCUCUUGUAAAUCUAAACAAUUUGUCAUGUUUUUAAAGUGAUGACCCUCACUUCUAGGAUUAAUACACAAAAAAAUUAAUCCUAGAAGUGAGGUAAAGUAAUAAACUUUAAAAACAUGACAAAUAGUAUAAAUUUGCUAAGUUUAAGCUAUAGUCCCCUAGACGACCUAACAAACCUUUUUCAACGUUUUAAAAUUACCGUAUUAUAGAUACAUUGGUGUAGGCUUAGAAUAAUAACACCUAGAUCAUGAGUAGGCCCAAGCGAAAUGAAGCAGUUUCAAUGUGGUCGUUUAUGACCACAUACGUUUCCCGCCGCGUCAGUGUCAUUCUGUCAACUUCCAGGACAAUCAGUGCGCGAAAUUAAAUUGAAAAAAUGACUUACUGUGCAGUGAAAGGGUGUCUCAAAGCGUCUUAUAAUAAAAAUUAUGAUAAGAAAAUCACAUUUCACACCUAAAUACAAUUUCACAACUUUUAAGUUAAGCUAAUAUAUUGGCCAAAACAGCAAAAUAUUUUGUAGACAAAACAGACGCAAUUAAAAAAAUAUGUUGCCAGUUAUGAAAGUACUGUAUAUUCCAAGUUCCUCCGCUGGGAUAGUUUUUUUUUGUGUUUAUUGGUAGAUUGAUAGGGGCCUAUAAUUUACGACGCCACAUGAUGUUAUAAGUAUUCAAAGUCAAAGUCAAAUAAUCUUAAUUCAAUUAGGCUUAAACUAAGCGCUUUGAAUAGACACUAUAAAUAUUUAUUUUAACCUGCACCCUCGAGAACCUCGGAUUCGAUAUCAAUCACGUUGAAAUCAUUAAUUUUCGCCAUCUUGGAUUUAAAAAAUGAUCCCAAAUUCGUUCUCUCGGAUAACCUCGGAUAUUGCUGGGAACGGCGCCUCUAUCGUCUCGCUUUUUCGUUUCAUCGAGUUUCAAUAACCACCGAUUCUAAAGAACUUACACUUCAAAAAUUGUUGCAACAACAAUUAAAUACGUGCUGUUUUUAUUAAAUUCUUAAUUUAUAUCUUAUUUCUACUUUCUUUAUUACAUAUAAUCUAGUAUUUCUUACAAUUGACCGAUUUAGGGAAAUGUCUAUUCACUUGCAACAUAAUUUGGCUGUCUGUGUGCGUGUUGGCGAAUGUAAGUACGUGACGCUCACGCACACAUUCAUUAUAAUGUUACUUCUAUAUCGACAGGAACUAUGAAUGAAACUAUCGUUCUGAGCGUUAUUAUUCUAUGGGUGUAGGUACAUUAGUUGUUACCUGUCAUCAACGUGUGUACAAUUUUUUUGUCACGCAUCUUAAAAUGCGUUCCGUUUCUCAUACCAUAAACAAAAAUAAACAAGAUCGCAUUUCGCAAUCAUGUAUAAAUAAAUAAUCGUUCAUCGAUUUCCCCUUAUUUCAAUAAAACUAAUUAUCAAAUAAGUUUUGGGAUACUGUUGUAUUUUACUAUACUUUCUAUUGUAACAGUGAAUUUAUUUUUAUGAAAAUAAGACGAGCGGUAAGUUCAGCUGAUGGUAAUUGAUACGCCCUGCCUUAUAUGCAUUGCAGUACCGCUCAAGAUUAUUGAAAAACCCAAAAAUUCUGAGCGGCAUUACAGCUGCGCUCGUCACCUUGAGACAGCCAGUAAUUUCACUAGCUACGACGAUCGAAACACAGUAAUGCUUACACAUUACUGCUUCACGGCAGAAAUAGGCGCCGUUGUGGUACACAUAAUCUAGCGGGCAUCCGUUGCAAAGGAGCCUCCCACUGGUAAAUAAUUAAUAGUUACUAUUUAAUAGUAAUAGACAAUGUACUGUGUAUAAUGAAACGCGCACUAUACUUUUUUACUGGCCUGUAUUUUAAAUACCAAAUCAAAGUUUGUACUGAACUUGAACUCGGGUAAGAUUUACCAAAGUGAAGUCUGAGCAAAGUCUGAGUACGGUCUAUAGAUGUAAGCCUCUCAAUCAAAACAAAAUGACUCUGACAAUUGGACGUAAUUCCAGAAAAACUUUUCAAACCACAAUCAUAUCGAAAUUGAGUUAGGAACAGUUUUGUAUUCCUAACUGUGGGCACGUGAUUCAUAUUAACGAACUAACAAAAAAUGGCAGUCCUGUCAUUCUGCAAAUGACAUCACGACUUAGUAGCCCAACACAAAUGUAUGGAAUACACUAAUAUUUAUUAAAAUUGAAACACGAAUUCCUUAAAAUGUGAUGUUUAUGGAUUGGUACGUUUUUCAGGGACUACGUCCAAUUAUAAAUGUAUUUUAUUCAGUUUGACUAUUAUGGUAUGUUUAUUUAGUCGUUCGAUGAAGGUUCCAAGAUUAACCUUCGAGCAGGGGCGUGCAUAUCAUAUAGGCAAUUAGGCAGUGCCUACCUUGUUAAUAACAUACAUAAAUAUAGCACUAGUGUUAAAGCUGAUUUAAUUUGGUUCCUUACGCUAAAUCCUAAAUACCUAUGGUAGGCAGUCCGUCUCCAGAUUGCAUAUUCGAUAAACAACUUCAAUAUUUAGACCUCAAAACCUAGUAAUGUCGGACUAAACGCAACUACGACUAAUUAAAUCUAGAGUGUCUACCUUGCUAGAAAACCAAUGCACGCCCCUGCCUUCGAGCUAUGAUUAUGGAUAAGUUAAUUAAAAAAAAUCUUACAUGUAAAUAAUUAUGUUUUGUCAUAUUUAAUCGUGUACACGUUUGAAACGAAAUGUUUCCAAAGUUUAAUCUAAAAAAUGAACGUUUUAUUCUUUAUGACAUAGUCUUAGAUAAUUUAUAUGUCUAGAUAGAGCCUCUUGCUGCUAGACAUCAGAUAAAAACAGACCAGGCUUAUUACUUUACUGUGCGUGACAAGCUACGCCUUACACUCGCGAUUUGUAUGACACUUUGUGUUGUGUGCGUGCGUCGCUCAAAUAGAGGUUAACUGUCAAGCUCAAUUUUUAUCGACGUUUUCACAGCUGCCACAGUCUAUCUAGACGUAUAAAUGAUCUAAGGUAAGAUAGUUAUGAGCUGGAAUUUUCGAGAGUAUUAUUUAAUUUUAGUUGUUAGUAUUGUAAUAAAAAACUAAUUAAAUUUAUAAUUUGUUCUGUAUGGAAUGAAUUUGAUCAGUAUUGUAUUUAUAUAGGAUUGAGAAUUAGUAGUUAACGGGAUCUCAGGAAUGGACACGACUUAAAAUAAGAACUUUGUGAGAAGCUCAAGAUUAGAACAGUCUUAAAUAUGCUGCCGCUGUCUCUGCUACCAUCUGUCAUGUUUUAGACCAAAGACUUCUAAUAAACUGCGAGUGGGGUAGCAUAUCGCAGGCACCCGCUUUACGACAUCGCCCCGAGCAAUGCCAUUAAGCCACACAAUAUACAUGGUUCUAUCUAGAGAGGUCAUCAUAUCGUUCGUGAUACAGUAAUGACACAUACACAAACAUAACACUGUAAAAUAGAUGCGAGAUUCGUUGAUAAUAUAAAACUGGAUAAAGUAUUUAGUUUCAUAAAUACUGAUAAAGCAUUUAGCUUUACUUUUAUUCAAAUACACACAUCAAAAAAGUCUAAGCAAUAUGUACUAAUUUAUAUUUUAGGAUGGUUUUUCACAUUAUAACGUUGUAUUUUAUUUUUGAAAUAAUAUUUUGAGGGUCCUAUGAUGUAAAAUGGGAAAUAGUUAUCGGUGGGCACCUAAUUGGGCGUCGAGCUCGUAGGCCGUACUCAUGGAGUCGAUUUCGCACAGUUUGGGGACUUACAUUAACACCACUUGAAUUUUGUAGCCUCAAACUUAUCUCUCGAGCGGUUAACAUCGGCUGGUGUCUUGCAGUCAGUUGUAUGUACCGGUCUUGCCGAUGGUUGUACUCCUUUUACGGCCUGAAUGCUGUCCAGCGGGUUCCCUUGUAUUAUUCUAGCGCUGCCAAAGACGACAAAUAACACUUCUAUGAAUGCCAAAAUGCCGAUAUACCUGAGAUUGAUUACUUCCCGCUUGCAACCUCCCUACAGCUCUUUGCAUUUAAUUUGCCGUCAAAUGACGUCGCUCCAUGACGUAAAGAAUAUCUAACAAUUCAAUUUUGUUGCUAACUUAAUUUAAAUAGUUGGUAAAAUUAUAAAAUCAAGACUAAACGUAGCAAUAAAAACGCACUUAAAUUUAAACAAAUUCCCUUUCAUUUAAUUUUAUGAAAAAAAAAACAUAAUCGAUUUUUUUUUACAACCAGCCAGUAUGUCAUCAAUAACAAAAAAGUUUACAUACCUAUGCACUUUGAGUAUAUAAAAACUUAGAAAUUAAGUAAUAUAAAUGGUAAAUUUGUAAUAUCAUGCAUGUUGCUUUGACUUUUUUGAUGUGUGUAUGUAUCCCCAUUGCUUUCUUAGCAACAUCGCAUUCGAUGGAACCACUGAGAGAAGUAGUCAUACUCUUCUCUAGGUCAUUUUGAUUGCUAUCGCAAUACGAGUACAUCAUCGGGUUCGCAGAUAUUUCUAAAUUCGAAAUUUAAAAAAAACUUCUUCGAAUUUAUUUCUAAUCAGCCAGUUCAAAAAAAUUAAAUGUUACCCUUGUACCUAGUCGUGCAAAUUGCGUUCUUUAAGGUUCAUGUUAACUAUUGGAUCUGAAUUGACUAUUCUAUUCUAGUUUUGUAGUAAAAUUUAAUCUUAUUUUAAAUCCUCAUUGUUCAUAGUAUUAUCCUAAUUAAGUACUUUGAUUAAUUCUCAAAAUGAUUCGACCCGUUUAACUAUUUCACUUUCGCAAUAAUAAAUACAACUCAGGCAUAAAUAUAUAAAUAAAUAUCUUCUCUAAAAUGUAUUUGUAAAGUUUUGUAUCACAGUCAUAAAAUCCAAGUGUUCAACUGUAUUGGUCACACUUGAACAUCUCAUACUUCAAUGUGAAAGUCACAAAUUCAAUUUUGACUGUACAUUUAAUAUUGAAUGCAGGUUUUAACUAUGUUAGUUAUAUGUAUGUAGUUAAAAUUUUAUCGCAGAGUAGAGACAAUUUCUUAUACUAAGUGAUUUUAGUGACUAAGAGGACAUUUAUAUAAGGCGCGCUAAUAACCGGCUGUAGGCAGUCAUUAAAAUAAAAUAUAGUCUCUAUUUUAUUUUUUAUUUAUUGUGUAUUGUUCACAAUAAAAAAUAUUAAAAUGUAAACCAUAUAAGGUUUAUCAAGGGCACGAAAUUGUUCUUAAAUACUUACACAUAUUGCUGGCUCACUAUUACAAGGUUCUCUCUAUGUUAAAAUUUUAGCACUUAUUAAAUUAUUAAUGCUACAAGGUUCUAUGUGUCAAUAGCUAUACUUUUGCAAAAAUGAACCACUAGAUGGCAGCACAUUUAAUACAAAAUAUUCAAUUUUACAUAGUCAUAUGUUGUUUUUAGUUUACGAAUGAAAUAACAAAGUUUUAUGUUAAACAUAGAACCAUUUAAUUCUGGUUUUUAUUUAUUUGUAGUGUAACAAAUUAUACUGACCUUAGGUUAAGGCAGCCCAAUGCAAAAGUCAAGUUCCCAUUUUAUCACACUCAGCUUUACGUAAGUAAAGUCUGAGCAAAAUCUUAGUACGAUCUUAUAGAUCUCGGCAUAAGACAUAAAUACGUUAAAAAUAGUUUUUUCAAUAUACUCUGCCUUUUCUAGAUUUUUCUAAUAUGUUACUGCAGCAAACUAUUAAGUAUAUCUGGCAAUAAAUAUUUCCCAUUUCCGCAUACCAUAUGCAUUGUUACAUCUGUAGUUAGUAUGUUUGUAUUUAUCCUUAUUACUUAAAUAACGUUUGUUAUUCGCUGAUUACCAUUUUUUAUUGUAGUACACGGUUGUACCAUGAUUUUAUUCCAUUUUGUACAGUAAGUAUAUAAAUAUUUUUUAUUUACGCGCCGUAUAUGAAAAUGAGCGGGUUAGCAAAUUGUAGUUCAAUAGCCGAAAUUGUCUCUGCGCCGCGAUGUGUGUACUUUAUUGUUGUACUGUGUUGUACCAUUCUAAUUGUACUAUACUUAAUAUUUAUUGUACAUAUAUACAUUGUAUAAAACAAUAAACAUACCUAUUUCUAUACUUUA